RNAcentral lists this ribosomal RNA (433 nucleotides) under uncultured bacterium. RNAcentral describes it as "partial 16S ribosomal RNA". It matches the Rfam family "Bacterial small subunit ribosomal RNA", at positions 29 to 507 of the family's 1533-position model. The record is from RNAcentral.
AACGAACGCUGGCGGCAUGCCUAACACAUGCAAGUCGAACGAGACCUUCGGGUCUAGUGGCGCCCGGGUGCGUAACGCGUGGGAACCUGCCCUUAGGCUCGGAAUAACUCCCCGAAAGGGGUGCUAAUACCGGAUAAUGUCUUCGGACCAAAGAUUUAUCGCCUUUGGAUGGGCCCGCGUUGGAUUAGCUCGUUGGUAGGGUAAAAGCCUACCAAGGCGACGAUCCAUAGCUGGUCUGAGAGGAUGAUCAGCCACACUGGGACUGGGACACGGCCCAGACUCCUACGGGAGGCAGCAGUGGGGAAUAGUGGACAAUGGGCGAAAGCCUGAUCCAGCAAUGCCGCGUGAGUGAUGAAGGCCUUAGGGUUGUAAAGCUCUUUUACCCGGGAUGAUAAUGACAGUACCGGGAGAAUAAGCUCCGGCUAACUCCGUG